This 465-nucleotide ribosomal RNA is filed under the name uncultured bacterium. RNAcentral's name for it is "partial 16S ribosomal RNA". It matches the Rfam family "Bacterial small subunit ribosomal RNA", at positions 28 to 507 of the family's 1533-position model. The record is from RNAcentral.
GACGAACGCUGGCGGCGUGCUUAACACAUGCAAGUCGAACGGAAAGGCCCCUUUGGGGGUACUCGAGUGGCGAACGGGUGAGUAACAUGUGAGUAACCUGCCCUUGACUUCGGGAUAACUUCAGGAAACUGGGGCUAAUACCGGAUAGGAAUCCUUGCUGCAUGGUGGGGGUUGGAAAGCUUCGGCGGUUUUGGAUGGACUCGCGGCUUAUCAGCUUGUUGGUGGGGUAGUGGCUUACCAAGGCUUUGACGGGUAGCCGGCCUGAGAGGGCGACCGGCCACAUUGGGACUGAGAUACGGCCCAGACUCCUACGGGAGGCAGCAGUGGGGAAUAUUGCACAAUGGGCGGAAGCCUGAUGCAGCAACGCCGCGUGCGGGAUGACGGCCUUCGGGUUGUAAACCGCUUUCAGCAGGGGCGAAGCUUGUGGUGACGGUACCUGCAGAAGAAGCACCGGCUAACUACGUG